Long non-coding RNA from Psammomys obesus (fat sand rat), 7592 nucleotides. RefSeq lists it as uncharacterized. Lineage: Eukaryota; Metazoa; Chordata; Mammalia; Rodentia; Muridae. The transcript is spliced from 4 exons. The record is from RefSeq and is a predicted model, not a curated record.
AUUCCAGUUUGUGGACAAAGUCCUAACUAUCUCACAAUAUAGGUCCCCAACUGCUGACCAAACUCCAGUUCAAGCGGCCACCUAGCCUGAGACUAGCCUGGCUUUGCCGUUUCUUUUGGCAGCUCCCAAGAUCUGAGGGUAGGUUUCCUGGGCAGCUGGGACCUGCCAGGCCAUCCUCUAUAACUACCAGCUCACUACCCAGGGACCCCUGCUCCUGUCUGAGAGGACAGCUCUGCCUGAAGCUGGAAUCUGAUGCUUGUUGAUGCCAACAACCGAAACCAGCAGUUUGUAAGACAGCUGGCCCAGGGAGGUUGAGUCAUGUACCCACGUUCACACAGUUGACAGGAAGUAAGAUGUAAGACUCCAAUCCAACCUGACUCCAGAACCUGUUUUCCUGGUCUUGAGACUACUCCAUCCUUCCAAGACUUUCCCAGACAAAGUCAAGGAUAAUAUGACAUGGAGCUAAUUCCUAGGACGUGCAUCGAAAUCUUCGCUGCACACCUGUCGUUAUGGAAGGACCCAACUGGUGCUUGAAAUAAACGGCCUGGCUUAAUAAAUGAGUUAAGAAUUGAAGGAAUUCACCCAUCCAAGCAUCCAGCAAGGAAGGCAGUGGGUGAGAGCCUUCCCAUGCAGGAUUGCAGCUAGCGAUGAAAAUGAAAACAUCCAGUGGGACUGUAACUUCAGGUGAGCAGCAUGUGCUUUGUAUGGUAAGUAUAUCUCCAACAAUGCUAAGACACACUCACACUUAAAAAAUAAGGGAUGGAGGCGUGAUAGGGCUCAGCAGGUAAAGGUAUCAGUCCCCUGGGUCCCCUUAGGAACCCGCCCGAGAAAAUCAUCUCUCAUCUCCACAGGACCAGAGGCCUAUGGCCACUUAUUCACGCGGGAACUCACAAUAAAUAAAAAUAAAAAUACAAUAAAAGGUUUAAGGAAGGGUGGGGUUCGUCACAAGUCGGUUAUGCUUAUAACUGAGAAUCCUGGGCUCUGUCCGGCAACCCCACUCUCAGCCUGGCAUAGCAGGCAGUGGGGGUGGAGGGAAUAAAUUAAAAAGGGAAGUGAAUUUUAAAAAUAGUGAGAACAAGGAAGCUGAGAGAGAUGACAGCGCCUGGUUGUCAGGUGACCCUCUCCUGUGAGAAGACAAUUUUACACCCCAGUAAGGUGUUAGGAAAAGCUUAAUGCGCAUGGUCAAGGCUGUUUAGAGGGACAGAAGGGGCCUGCUGGCUGCUGAGUUACUUGCUAGACUGUGCAGUUUUGCACCUUGGAUCUGGGCCUUUGCAAUCCUCCGCAAACUCACGUCCCACCCCCCAGGUCAGCCAAUGUCCUCAGCGAGGCUGAGAGCCAGAGGAAAGGGGCCAAAGGAGCUGCGCAGAGAAGCGAAGCGUGUCCACCUAACAGGGCUCAGCGUCCCGAAACCGUCUUCUGGCCCAUCCCGGUCCCAGGAGGGUGAGGGUGGCAGGAGCCAGCUUCGAGGGCUCCUCCUAGUGGCCAAUGUGGGAACUGGCGCUCAGAGACAGUAUAGUCACAUUCAUCCCAGGAUGCCGCACUGCCCACUGCCACCGCACCAAUCAGAAUGCAAGAUUUAAAAGACAGUCCCAAGGCCUUGUAUUCUGCAUGUCUAACUGCCACGAAAGUUCCAACCCCAGGUGCCAGUGUGGCGGCAUCUUUGAGGAAGUUCCCAGGGUUUUUGUUGGCAUCAAACGUCCGCCUUCAUUUGCAUCCAUCCUCAUUUAUAAUGGAAUUCAUAACAUUAAAUAACACUCCCCCAUCAUAAAAGUUAACAUGGACGCUAUAGAGAUGGCUUGGUGGUUAAAAGUACUUACUUGCAGAGGCCCCUCCUAGCUGGCUUUCCAGAACCCAUGGGGAACCUCACAACCUUUUGUGCCUCCAGUUCCAGGGGAUCUGAUGCCCUCUUCUGGCCUCCAUGUAUCCUACACACACACACACACGCGCGCGCACACACACACACACACACACACACACACACAAAACCCACACAAACAUACACACACACCACAAACACACACACAAACACAGGGCCCUCUAAUAAUUAAAUCAAAGUAAAUAAAAGUUAACAAGGAGAGCUGAGUGCAAUUUGGCUGUUAACUAGGUUCAUAUUGAAUGCACUGGAAGCUUUGCCCAAGAGGACGGCUUGCUCCAUCUAAGUUCUUAUCAUCAUCACCAUCAUCGUCACCACCACCACCAGUCUUAUCCACCUCCACUCCCACAUCAAUUCCUGCCUUCGUGUCCUCCUGUCUUUCCAGAGUCAUAAAAAACAAACAAACAAAAAAACAAAACAGACAAACAAAAAAAACAGUGCACAUCACCAGCAACAGUAGCUAGAAUUUUUGUUAUUUUUUUCCACUCCACUACAGCCAGCUUGGGCCCAAUCACCCUGUUUUCUGGAAGUGAGCAGGAAUCUUUGCACAACUCUUUCUUGCCCAUCCUGGCUCCUGCGCCAUCCGUGGGGAUGAUCACGCACAAACAUACCUUGCCCUGGAUCCCUCCCCUCUUUAAACAUUUACAGCGUCCUGAGCGUUUAUGAAGCUCAGAAGACUCCCGUCACAAGAAUUUUAUUACUGUGUCCCCACAUCUCCAGCCUCAUCUCAUUCCUCCCUUCCUCCUUCCUGGCUCAGGGCCUUUGCAAGUCCCGCUGUGGUUGACUAUUGUUGCCGUGACCUGGAGGGAGGGUGGGUCUGCAGCUCCAGACUUGUUGUGUGAGUUCUGUACCUUCCUCGACCUACAUUCUCUGUCUCCGUAACCUCCUCCUAGCACGUCAACUUGAAGCGGCCAGUGUGUCCAGUUACCUGUAGAUAACCUAUUUACGCUUCUGCCCCCAUCGUGGAGAUGCCUGCUGGCUGCGUUUCUUAUAGCAUACCCCAAUCCUUGAGCAGGUUUAAACAAACAGAGAGAGGCAGAAUGGUAGCAUUCUGAAGGGGCCUGUGAGGAGAACUUGAUGAGUCUCAUAGUGAGCUCACCAAGUACAGAGGCUGGCCUCUCAGCCUGAUGACCUGAAUUCAACCCCCAAGAUCCCCAUGGUGGAGGGAGAGGAGCAACUCCUGUCCUUUGACCUUCACGAGAUCACUGUAGAACACCCUUCCUCCAUACACACACACACACACACACACACACACACACACACACACACACACACGGUUUUUGUUUUGUCUUGUCUUUUUGUUUGUUUGUUUUGUUUUUUCAAAACAGGGUUUCUCUGUGUAGCCUGUCUAUCCUGGACUCACUUUUUAGACCUGGCUGGCCUCAAACUCUCAGUGAUUCACCUGCAUCUGCUUCCCUGCUGGGAUUAAAGGGGUGCACCACCAUGCCUAGCUUCAUACAUGCAUGUUUAAGGAAGAGAAUGUCAUUAAUGGUCAGUGAAAAGAAUUCUACGCCCACAGCAGAAUUUUUGCAAAGUGAAACAAAUAGUCUGAGAAUCGCAAAUAAUUUAGUCGGCAUGUUGGCAAAUACUUCAGCGUUUGGAAAGCAGAGGCAGGAGGGCUACAGAGUGAGUUUAAGUGUAGCCUUGCACUAGAUGAAACCAUGUCAAAAAAAAAAAAAAAAGAAAGAAAGAAAAAAGAAAAGAAGAGACCAAUGAGGCGUCUCAGUGAAUAAAGAUGUUUUCUUGGGACUCACUUAGCAGAAAGACAGAUCCUCCUCUCUUUAGUUAUCUCUGAGCUCCACACUGCCGCGCUUGCCCCCCCCCCCCCACACAUGCACACACAAUAAAUACAUGAAAUGAAAAGGUGAGGAACAGCAAAUGCUCGACCCUUCGUGGAUAAGGCAAAUCAAAGGGCCCUGGCCCAACCCACCUCUGGGCCAGUCUGCUCCUAGGCUACCCUCCUUACAGGCAAGUGGUAGCUUCAUACUUGUUCUGUUCUCUGAAGUUGGAUGUGACUGUGAGAAGUGAGGAGAAGCAGGCUGGGCCAGCCCUUUCUUUACGGAAACAAGGAUGGGUAUUGAGUCACCCUGGUGAGGAGGGCCCCCUGCUGAUCAAAGAGGGACAUGCACUGUAAGAGAGCUAGAACAAGCUAUUGGAACCAACCUUGGGGGCGUUUUGUCACAGAACGGCAUACCUGACCAGGUGGGACAGACUUCCCAAAGCAUCUCAAGUUUCCCUAAGACCAUCAUUGCUUUUAUCAUAUCUGAAAACCACCUCUGAUGUUUCCUACAUACAUUUUUUUUCUUGCACUUCUUUUUUACUUAAAUUUAUUGUAUAGCCUUGUAAAAACCUUUUUGACCUAGGGUCUCAGGCUCAAACUUGCUGUGUAGCUGAGAAUGACCAUGAACUUCUGAUUCUCCUGUUUUCACCUCCCUAGUGCUGGAACUACAGGAAUGUGUCAUUAGGCCAGUUUUUGUGGGGUGCUGGAGAUGGAGUGCUGGAGCAUGCUAGCUGAACACCCCACUGACAUUUCCAGCUCUUAGAUUCAUUUUUUUAAGUUAUUCCAAUCAAGAGAAAUAUACUUUUCUAAGCAGAAAGCAAUGGAAAACAAUCAGAAAAAAAAAAAAGAGUGUCUCAGGUGGUGGUGGCGCAUGCCUUUAAUCCCAGCACUCAGGAGGUGGAUCUCUGAGUUCUGAGUUCAAGGCCAGCCUGUGGAGCCAGUACCCUGCCAAGGCUGAAUAAGCAAAUUCUGGGCCUCGGCUUCCUGGGUUUGCAUGCAUAUGCUCCACUACUGCACGGCACCCCCAGCCCUAUGUCUGCUUUCUUCCUUGCAAAUAGGACUGGUAAUGUGUAGGCGAUUGGGCUGUGGUGGGGAUUGUUGGCGUUCAAGUAGAUAAAGGGCUAAAGUCGUAUCUGGCACACUGUGAGUGCUACAAAGAUGCUAGCUGCAAAACAAAGACUGUAUAACGAUCCAAACACCAUCUAGCCACAGUGGCACACACUUGUGAUUCUAGCACCAGGGUAGCUGUGGCAAGAGGGUCAGGAGUUCAAAGCCAGCCUGAGCCAUAAGGGGAGGCUGGCAUGGGCUACAUGAGACUGACUUAAAACAAGGAAACAAAACACAGCAACGACCCGAAUGUCUUUGAAUAAGGGUAUAAACCCCAGGCCAGGCAUGGUGGUGCAUGCCUUUAAUCCCAGCUCUCAGGAGGCAGAGGCAGGUGGAUCUCUGUGAGGUCGAGGCCAGCCUGCUCAAUAAAUAAAUAAAUAAAAGAGCAUGAACCCCAUAGUGUGUGGGGAGGGAUCUCUCCACAGGUUAAAAAUAAAUAAAUCCCAAGGAUGCCGUGGAUUCGGAGGCUACAUGCCCUCUGUCAGUGGCAGGUGAUGUAACAGAGCCUUUGAUUUUGUUGGUGACAGCUGCUCCAACUCUGUCAUGCGUCAUUCUUGAGGACAUAGCGUUCAGGUUGGAAGAGCCAAUGUCCUCUGCACAGUGUCCUCAAAUGACCACAUAGGGACACUGGCACUGGGCUUUAAUUUUAGGAAGAACAUUUAGGACAGGCCAGGCCACAAAAGCUGCCCCCUCUGGAGAAUGGCUGAAGCCGAGGCGGGGACUGGGCUAGUUGCUAUCAGCAGCAGAGAGGCAGUUCAGCUAAGUGCUUGGGGCUGUGGCCUUUGAACUGUCUGAUCCCGGGCAGGUCACAAGCUCUUUAGAUCUUAUUUGCUUCACCUACAAGAUAGGACUCAACAGUAGGGCCUCUUUAUGGAGUGUUUGGUGGAGCAAAUGUGAUAAGCCUUAUACACCUGGCAUGCAGGUGGCCAGAAUGCAGCUAUGUUUUGGGUUCAAAACGGGGCUGAGGCUGUAGCUCAUUAGGUAGCUCACGAAGCAUGUGCAAAAUCCUGCAACUCAUUCCAGUGCUGCAAAACAAAGUAUUUCCUGGGAAAUAAGAAUUCACUGUUAGUUGGGUGGUCAUGGUGCACUCCUUUAAUCCCAGCACUCGGGAGGCAGGGGCAGGUGGCUGUCCGGGUUCUAGGCCAGCCUGGUCUACAGGGUGAGUUCCAGGGUGUGUAGCCAGGGCUACACAAAAUAGACAAAUAAAAAGAAACUUGCUGGUUCCUACGAUCCCAGAAAGCAAGCCAGAAUCAAUAGAUGGGAGAAAAACUUGGACCCAGAAUAAAUAAAAGAUUUUAUUAGGUGAUGUGAUUGUCCUGCCAGGGAAGUACUGACGAAUCCAGAUGUCAGCAAUUUUCACUGGCAUUCUCAGGCACGAGCCCGGGAACCAUGAUGUUAAGGAAGAUGGGCUGUGGAUUCCAGAAACUGGGAAAAGCAGACUUGCCCAGGGGGGCAAAUGUCUUAGAUGAAACACAAUCAAACUCAAGCACAGCGGGGAAACUGAGUCCCCACCUGUAAAAGAAUGAGAUUGACAACCUGGACGUGGUAGUUCUAGCACUUGGAGGUAGAAGCUGAAGGAUCGGAGGUUUAAGAUCAUUCAGGAACACAGAAAGGUCUCCAGCUGAGUCAGGAGAGCUUCGUAGGACAUGUGGACUCUGCAGCUUCAGACCAUGAGGCACUAAAAAUGACCAGUCCCAGUACAGCUUACCUCAGUGUAUUCAGUCCCUCCAGAAGGCCCAUGAAAGAGCCCAGGGCAGGGCAGCAUGAGAAUGCUCUUCCCUCUCAGAGUUCCUCUCACUGUUCUUAAUAAAUGUAGGUUCAUUCUAUUCUCUCCUGGCCUGUAUGUCUUAUCCUUCUGAGACAAUGAGCCCAGAUGUCACUGGCUCAAGGCAGUUUUGACAACCAUGAUCAGCCAGCAUCCUAGGUCCCUGGGCUAAGAUAACUAAGAGCCAAGAUUCCAUUGCUUUCAAAGAACCCACAUCAAAAGGAUACUAUCAUCAGAGUGGAAAUCAGUCAAUGGGCUGGGAGGAAAGUACUUGUAAAUACAUACAGCCCAGCGCCAGGAGACAAACAGCUUCACAUGAGCACCUGAAUAGACACUUCUUCAAAGAAAUGAUCGAAUGACUGCUGUGACCAUGGGAAGACUAGCAUUACCCACCAGGCAUUAGUGAAAAACAAAACCCACCAACAGUAAGAAAGCCAGGUGUAGAGGUGCAUGCCUACAACCCCAGAACUCAGAUGCAGGAGGAUCUAAAGUUCAAUACCAGCCUGCUACAGAGCAAUAUCCUGCCUCAAAACCCAACCUAAGCAUAGAUGGUGCACGCCUUUAAUCCCAGCAAUCAGGAGGCAGAGGUAGGCUGAUCUCUGUUUGAGGGCAGCCUGCUCUACAUAGUGAGUUCCAGGCCAGCCAGAGCUACACAGCAAAACCCUGCCUCAACAAACAAACAAACAAACAAACAAAAACCCAAGAGCACAGCUUCCAUUGCCCAAUAUUAAAACAGCUAAACAGAAGCCACGUAUGGUACUUUCUGUCUGCAGUCCCAUCACCUGGGAAGACUGGGCAAGAUGAUUGUUUUGAGUUCAAGGCCAGUCUUGGCUACAUAGUGAGUUCCAGGCCAGCUUGUGCUAGAGAAAGUUUGUGAGGGUGUAGAGACAUGGAAAUGCUUGUUCACUAACUGCUGAGAAUGUAACACAGUGUAGCCUCUGUGGGAAGUGGUAUGAUGUUUCUCAGGCAUGUCCAUAAUAUAAUUUGGUCAUAUUCACUCUCUCUCCAUUACCCUUCCUGCUCCACUCUUCUUCCCAUUAAUAAAUAAACCCUCCUUUCUACUUUCA